Non-coding RNA from Schistosoma mansoni, 45 nucleotides. The record is from Rfam. Lineage: Eukaryota; Metazoa; Platyhelminthes; Trematoda; Strigeidida; Schistosomatidae.
ACCUUGCUGACGAGUGCAAAAUAGCACGAAACUCGGGUCCAGGGU